GGGAAGAGUGGUUUUAAAUACUGGACAUGAACUACUGGGCUGAUGGAAAUUUUGCCUGUGCAUAGAAGCAUCCCAUUUUCUCCAAAUAACUCUCCUAAUAACCUUCAAAAGCCUUGAAGAUUUUAAGUGAAAAGACAUCUGUGAUAUUUUGAACACAAUGCCAUUAUCAAAUGCUCAGCCAUUUUAAGGAUCUGUAAGCAGGCUAAGUAGCACAUAAACCAGUGUGUUAGAAAUCAGUGAGAUCAAGUUUUUCCAUCUUUACAGAUACAAAGAAUGACGGAUUCUGAUGACACUUAACUCCAGGGAAGGAAGGAAGGAUAUUAAGUAAGGCAGGUAAUUCUGCUUAUCCUUCUAGUCAAUGAACAUCAGUGUGAGUUUUCUGUUCCCUUGUGGGCCAAAGUAUGCCCUCAACUCUCCUGGUGUGACCAUCUACUUCUCCUGAUUGUAACUCUAGUAUAUAAAUAGACAUAUUUUUCAAACAAUUUGACUCCUAAACAUAAGCCAUAUCCCAUCAUCUGGUAUUUAAAUGAGGAAAUGAUCGCUGGAGCUUUUGCAAGAAGAAAAGAGUACCUGUGUUGGAUUCACUGAACAAGGUCACUGAAUUCUACUUUGUGGGUUAAUUUGUAGGAUUUUGGAGGGGGGAUAGUUGUGACUUUUAUUAUCUUUUUACUUUGACUUUAAAACUUUUUAAUAAUCAGAUAAGAUUUAACCUAAAGGGUAAAAUGUUCUCAUCAUUUAAUUAAAUAGUGGGGAAGUAUUCCCUAAAACUUUUUUUUUUUUUUGGAAGAAAAUGAUAAGAAUGUAGAGAUUCUAGGAAAGGACAUGACAAUCACUGCAUGGAUUGUUGAGUAAUUUUAUCUAGAUCAAUAAGAUUAAACACAUGUAAUAGAAACCCAUUUAAAUGAAAGGUAGAGGUAUUGACUUUAAGUUUGUCAUGUUUAUAUGACUAUCUAGAAAACUCAACAAAGGUAUAGAAAUAUAUGAAUGGUUGGAAAUCUCAGUGUGUUCCUCAGAAAGCGGCUCCUCCUGGACUUGUGCUGGCAGAUAGAAUCUUCAAGAAGCAAUAUGCCAAAGUGGUUGCUCCUGGGAACUUGGAAGAUAAUAAAAGCAAACCUCUUUAAUCCUUUAAUGUCAUUUUCUUUUGCGAUUUGUAUGUUUCUUAGAAACUCUGAGUGCUCUCUGAGUGGGAAAUGGAGAAAUGUGGUAGUCACUCUAGUUGUCAUUUACAGUUCUUUGCUUAUAGGAAUUUGAGACAUGUGAGUGACAAGGUGAAUAUGUAAGAGAAGAGAAAUGUGGAAUGAU
This is a non-coding RNA of Ictidomys tridecemlineatus (thirteen-lined ground squirrel), 1302 nucleotides long. Lineage: Eukaryota; Metazoa; Chordata; Mammalia; Rodentia; Sciuridae. The record is from RefSeq and is a predicted model, not a curated record.